UGGGCAACGGUAGGUCAGUAUCGCCCCGAAUAUCCCGGGCUACACGCGAGCUACAAUGGUUGGUACAAUGGGUAUCUACCCGAAAGGGACGGGAAUCUCCUAAACCAAUCUUAGUUCGGAUUGAGGGCUGCAACUCGCCCUCAUGAAGCUGGAAUCCGUAGUAAUCGCGUUUCAACAGAACGCGGUGAAUACGUCCCUGCUCCUU
Molecule: ribosomal RNA, 205 nt
Filed under: uncultured Methanosaeta sp.
Lineage: Archaea; Methanobacteriati; Methanobacteriota; Methanomicrobia; Methanotrichales; Methanotrichaceae
Description: partial 16S ribosomal RNA
Rfam family: Archaeal small subunit ribosomal RNA
Source: RNAcentral